This 212-nucleotide ribosomal RNA is filed under the name uncultured archaeon. RNAcentral's name for it is "partial 16S ribosomal RNA". It matches the Rfam family "Archaeal small subunit ribosomal RNA", at positions 462 to 673 of the family's 1478-position model. The record is from RNAcentral.
UCGCCACGGUAAUACCAGCUCUCCGAGUGGUGGGGAUGAUUAUUGGGCCUAAAGCAUCCGUAGCCGGCUGAGCAAGUUCUCCGUUAAAUCCAGCGAUUCAAUCGUUGGAUUGCGGGGGGUACUGCUUGGCUAGGGGGCGGGAGAGGUCGACGGUAUUCUCGGGGUAGGGGUGAAAAUCCUAUAAUCCCGAGAGGACCACCAGUGGCGAAGGC